CCUACGGGUGGCUGCAGUGAGGAAUAUUGGUCAAUGGACGGAAGUCUGAACCAGCCAUGCCGCGUGCAGGAAGACGGCUCUCUGAGUUGUAAACUGCUUUUGUACAAGGGUAAACCUGAAUACGUGUAUUCAGAUGAAAGUCCUGUAAGAAUAAGGAUCGGCUAACUCCGUGCCAGCAGCCGCGGUAAUACGGAGGAUCCAAGCGUUAUCCGGAUUUCUUGGGGUUAACGGGUGCGUAGGCGGAUUGAUAAGUUAGAGGUGAAAUGUCCGAGCUUAACUCGGGAACUGCCUCUAAUACUGUUUGGCUAGAGAGUAGGUGCGGUAGGCGGAAUGUAUGGUGUAGCGGUGAAAUGCUUAGAGAUCAUACAGAACACCGAUUGCGAAGGCAGCGUACCAAUCUAUAUCUGACGUUGAGGCACGAAAGCGUGGGGAGCAAACAGGAUUAGAUACCCCUGUAGUC
Molecule: ribosomal RNA, 460 nt
Filed under: uncultured bacterium
Lineage: Bacteria
Description: partial 16S ribosomal RNA
Rfam family: Bacterial small subunit ribosomal RNA
Source: RNAcentral